This 245-nucleotide ribosomal RNA is filed under the name uncultured bacterium. RNAcentral describes it as "partial 16S ribosomal RNA". It matches the Rfam family "Bacterial small subunit ribosomal RNA", at positions 524 to 768 of the family's 1533-position model. The record is from RNAcentral.
UACGUAGGGGGCUAGCGUUACUCGGAUUCAUUGGGCGUAAAGCGAAUGUAGGCGGCUUUGUAAGUCAGGGGUGAAAUCCCUCAGCUUAACUGAGGAAGUGCCUUUGAAACUGCAUGGCUUGAGGACAGGAGAGGAAAGUGGAAUUCCCGGUGUAGCGGUGGAAUGCGUAGAUAUCGGGAGGAACACCUGAGGCGAAGGCGGCUUUCUGGACUGUUCCUGACGCUGAGAUUCGAAAGCUAGGGGAG